This 756-nucleotide long non-coding RNA is filed under the name Citrus sinensis (sweet orange). RNAcentral describes it as "long non-coding RNA (CSIN_LNC005712)". The record is from RNAcentral. Lineage: Eukaryota; Viridiplantae; Streptophyta; Magnoliopsida; Sapindales; Rutaceae.
GAAGAUAACCUUUCAAAUGAAUUUUGUAUUAACAUGUUGCUGCAUACAUAUAUAAUCUUACAACUUUAUGGAAAAUCACACUAAAAAUGAACAGAAUCUUGGAUUUUCUAAAACUAGAAAAUCUCAAUAAUACAAAAAAAUCUAAUGUCCUUAAAUAUUACAUUUACUCCUAAUGGUUAUAAAUUCAAUCAAGGCAUGUCAAAUACCAAAAAGCUAUCCGCGAAAAGGAUUGAAGCAUUUUCUUUUAUAGAAUACUAAUUACAAACUUCAAUUUAUUUUCAACAUGCAUUUGGGUUACUCCAUUCACUACAACUAACAUUAAUUGAUGACAAAAAUAAGAAGCAUCAGCCAUAUUCUCAAUCAAUUUUGAAGAUCCAUUUUCAUAUUUUACUCAACUCAUCAACAAAGCAAACAAAAACUAACAUGCACUAAAAGUUCUUCAUACAUACCUCAUCUGUGGCUUGGAAAAAGUAAGGUAUUAACUGGUAGCCCAUGAAACUCACUGGUCGGUACUCUCUGACCUCGCGGCCUUAAAUCGUUCAUCGCCCGUAUUGGAGUCCUCAACUUCACCGUCAUGGUCCUCAAUUUAUGGGCAAAGUGCUUGAUGAAAGUAUAAGAGAGAAAUUGAAAUAGAUUUUAAGCUUGGUUGCUUCGGCUUUGGCAGAGGAAAGAGAUGAUAACUUUUCAUUUUGUAUUAAUAUUUGUUGAGUAAAAGCAUGUUUACAAGGUAUAAAAGCAUGUUUCAAUUUAUUACCC